GGCCGUCCGCUCAUAAGAGCAAGUAGGAUUUUUUGACCCUCUCUUCCCAUUCAAUGGGAUGCUCUUCAUGACGUAUAGGGGUGCCACUAUAAGAUCCCAUGAAGAAGAAAGUGUAAAGAGAAAACUUACUUUCUUACAAAAUUCUAGAUCUUGAAACCUUAGGUAUUGUUGUAUGUGAUGCAAGUUGUAAAGAUAGUUACAACUAAUCUUG
This 211-nucleotide long non-coding RNA is filed under the name Elaeis guineensis (African oil palm). RNAcentral's name for it is "long non-coding RNA (EGUI_LNC020243)". The record is from RNAcentral. Lineage: Eukaryota; Viridiplantae; Streptophyta; Magnoliopsida; Arecales; Arecaceae.